Molecule: long non-coding RNA, 384 nt
Organism: Cyprinodon variegatus (sheepshead minnow)
Lineage: Eukaryota; Metazoa; Chordata; Actinopteri; Cyprinodontiformes; Cyprinodontidae
Exons: 3
Source: RefSeq, a predicted model, not a curated record
GGCCUACACUAGGGAAUAUAUAUACAUCACGUUGGUGGGGGAAAAAGGACCAAGCAAAACAACAUGGCUCUUUGGAGCAAAAUCCUUCUUAGGAAUGGAGUUAAAAGUUACCAUAACCACAGAGGAAUCUCUUGGAAAACUGCAGCAAGUAGUGGUUCAGAAGGAGAAGGGGCGUUUGUUUUAUUUUAAUGACAAUUGGUUACCAACAAAAAUAGCAGUCGACACUGACACAAAUGAAACCUACAUCUUCCCCCUGUACACCUGGAUUGCUGACAAUGAGAAACACUACUUCAGAGAGGGUCAAGCUUUUAUACCCUCAAAGGACCCUUUCGACUCAUCCAGUCGACAGGAAGAGCUUGAUAAUCGGCAAGAAGCAUAUCGGUG